RNAcentral lists this ribosomal RNA (449 nucleotides) under uncultured bacterium. RNAcentral's name for it is "bacterial SSU rRNA". It matches the Rfam family "Bacterial small subunit ribosomal RNA", at positions 355 to 796 of the family's 1533-position model. The record is from RNAcentral.
UCGAGAAUCUUUCGCAAUGGGCGAAAGCCUGACGAAGCGACGCCGUGUGUGUGAUGAAGGCCUUCGGGUUGUAAAGCACUUUCGCCUGGGAACAAGAAACUUUGGCUAAUAUCCAGAGGAUUUGAGAGUAUCAGGUAAAGAAGCACCGGCUAACUACGUGCCAGCAGCUGCGGUAAUACGUAGGGUGCAAGCAUUAAUCGGAUUUAUUGGGCGUAAAGGGCGCGUAGGCGGGAAUAUAAGUCAGAUGUGAAAUCCCGGAGCUCAACUCCGGAACAGCAUUUGAAACUGCAUUUCUAGAGGGUAGGCGGAGAAAACGGAAUUCCACAAGUAGCGGUGAAAUGCGUAGAUAUGUGGAAGAACACCAGUGGCGAAGGCGGUUUUCUAGCUUAUACCUGACGCUGAGGCGCGAAAGCAAGGGGAGCAAACAGGAUUAGAUACCCCUGUAGUCC